GCACGGGUGAGUAACACGUGACUAACCUACCCUGGAGUGGGGAAUAACUGAGGGAAACCUUAGCUAAUACCGCAUAAUACCUACGGGUCAAAGGAGCAAUUCGCUUCAGGAGGGGGUCGCGGCGAUUAGUUAGUUGGCGGGGUAAUGGCCCACCAAGACAGUGAUCGGUAUCCGGCCUGAGAGGGCGCACGGACACACUGGAACUGAAACACGGUCCAGACUCCUACGGGAGGCAGCAGUGGGGAAUUUUGCGCAAUGGGGGAAACCCUGACGCAGCAACGCCGCGUGGAGGAUGAAAUCCCUUGGGAUGUAAACUCCUUUCGAUCGGGACGAUUAUGACGGUACCGGAAGAAGAAGCCCCGGCUAACUUCGUGCCAGCAGCCGCGGUAAUACGAGGGGGGCAAGCGUUGUUCGGAAUUAUUGGGCGUAAAGGGAGUGUAGGCGGUUUGGUAAGUUGUGUGUGAAAUCUUCGGGCUCAACCCGAAGUCUGCACACAAAACUGCCGGGCUUGAGGGUGGGAGAGGUGAGUGGAAUUUCCGGUGUAGCGGUGAAAUGCGUAGAUAUCGGAAGGAACACCUGUG
RNAcentral lists this ribosomal RNA (581 nucleotides) under uncultured bacterium. Its description in RNAcentral is "bacterial SSU rRNA". It matches the Rfam family "Bacterial small subunit ribosomal RNA", at positions 100 to 714 of the family's 1533-position model. The record is from RNAcentral.